Molecule: unclassified non-coding RNA, 269 nt
Filed under: Hevea brasiliensis (rubber tree)
Lineage: Eukaryota; Viridiplantae; Streptophyta; Magnoliopsida; Malpighiales; Euphorbiaceae
Source: RNAcentral
GCAUAGAUACCACAGUUAUUUAGGAGUGGCCAAUUGAAUACCGCAGACAUUUGAAGAAUUUCUUCCUAUGAUUUCCACAUAUGUCAAAACCCCUCUUUCCAUGGCAAACUUGGGCUUUCUUAAACGCCUCAAGAACUUAUGAAUUAUGACUUGCUCAUUCACGGGAAGUAAUUACCUCUUCGUUGUAAGAGGUGACCUGACUUGUAUUUUAGAUCAUUUAUUUCUGACGUACAUAUGCACUCACACAUGCUAAGUUAUCAACUAUGAUU